This 618-nucleotide long non-coding RNA is filed under the name Nicotiana benthamiana. RNAcentral's name for it is "long non-coding RNA (NBEN_LNC036705)". The record is from RNAcentral. Lineage: Eukaryota; Viridiplantae; Streptophyta; Magnoliopsida; Solanales; Solanaceae.
AAGAGCAUUAGUAACUCCAGCAGAAAUCACAAUACAUAAUUAUAUAAGCAUAAACCAUAAGUAACAUGACAUGCAAAAGGAAAAGUUAAACAAAAUAGAAGUAAAAGGGCAUCCACAAAUAUUAAUUUAGCCACAUUCAGUAGAUAAAAUGGAACAAAAACAAAAGUAAAAGGGCAUCCACAAAUAUUAAUUUAGCCACAUGCAGUAGAUAAAAUGGAAUGCAUAAACAACGACCACUACCUAAAAGCCUAUAUCCUACAACCAUGAUACUAGACCUCCAGAUUCUCCUAUCAAGGGCCAUGUCCUCGGAAAUCCGCAUACUAGCCAUGUCAUACCUAAUCACCUCUUCUCAAUACUUCUUUGGCCUCCCUCUGCCUCGACUCGCGCCUACCACCUCCAAAUGCUCACAACUCCACCGGAGCAUCUGGGCUUCUCCUCCGCACAUGCCUGAACCACCUGAGCCUUGCCUCUCGCAACUUCUCAUCCACUGGGGCCACACCCACCUUUUCCCGAAUAACUUCAUUCCUAAUCUUAUCUAACCUGGUGAGCCCGCACAUCCACAUGAAUAUUCUCAUCUCCGCAACCUUCAUUCUCUGAACAUAAGAUUUCUUCACUGGC